GUAAUACAAAUAUCCUCCAAUUCAGUCCUUCCAUUUUGGAUCUCAGUUUCGAGUAAGAAGCCCCAAGCCGGCUCGUGAAAAAGAAGUAAAAAUACAAGAAUUAUCCAAAGAACGAAGUUAUAGCUGAUCGAGAUGUGCUCAUGAAAUUAUAUUGGCAUUAUUACACAUUUCUGAGUCCUAGUAUGUUCAACGGAAUGGCGUGCGCCUAUCUAUACAAGGCUAUUCAAUGUAUUGCUAAUCAAAAAUUUGAGGAAUAGGAUGAUAUGUAGUUAUGCGGAUUGAAUGUUGAAAUUAGCAAAAGUUUGCUUUAACCCUAGAAUACUACUGGUGAAUGAGAAAUACGUUAAUGUCCAAGCGGUAGCCAAUUUAAAUCGUGUAUAUGUUCGUAAUUUAGUGAGUAGCCUAGUCCUUUUCAAAAAUAUGGCCUUACCAAGUCGAGCCAGAAUAUAUGCCGAUGUAAACUGUCACAAACCUAGAGAUUACUGGGAUUAUGAAAGUUACGUGGUAGACUGGGGACAACAAGAUGAUUACCAGUUGGUUAGGAAGCUAGGUAGAGGAAAAUACAGUGAAGUUUUUGAAGCAAUUAAUGUUACAAAUAAUGAGAAAUGUGUAGUAAAAGUAUUGAAGCCUGUGAAGAAGAAGAAAAUUAAACGAGAAAUAAAAAUUUUAGAGAACCUAAGGGGUGGUACAAAUAUAAUUACAUUAGAGUCAGUUGUAAAGGAUCCUGUAUCAAGAACACCAGCAUUAAUAUUCGAACAUGUAAACAAUACAGAUUUCAAGCAGCUUUACCAAACGCUUACAGAUUUUGAUAUUCGAUACUACUUAUAUGAGUUGCUCAAAGCAUUGGAUUACUGUCAUAGUAUGGGCAUUAUGCAUCGAGAUGUGAAGCCCCAUAAUGUAAUGAUAGAUCAUGAAAAUAGGAAAUUAAGAUUAAUUGAUUGGGGUUUAGCUGAGUUUUACCACCCUGGGCAGGAAUACAAUGUGAGAGUGGCCUCCAGAUACUUCAAGGGUCCUGAAUUACUUGUUGAUUACCAGAUGUAUGAUUAUUCCUUAGAUAUGUGGUCUCUGGGAUGUAUGUUAGCAAGCAUGAUAUUCAGAAAAGAACCGUUUUUCCAUGGUCACGACAACUAUGACCAAUUAGUCCGUAUUGCCAAAGUACUUGGUACCGAAGAACUUUUUGAAUACCUUGAUAGAUAUCAUAUAGAGUUAGACCCUAGAUUCAAUGAAAUUUUAGGAAGGCAUUCUCGAAAAAGGUGGGAACGUUUUGUGCAUAGUGAAAAUCAACAUUUAGUUUCUCCCGAGGCAUUAGACUUUCUGGAUAAAUUGUUACGUUAUGACCAUAUGGAACGUUUGACUGCCCGGGAUGCUAUGGAACACUCUUACUUCUACCCUGUAAUUAAAGAUCAGUGCCGAAUGAUGUCAACAGUUUCAUCUUCCCCUACUCCGCUGACAGGCAAUCUGUCUGUGGUGGGAGUAGGUGAGUAGCCCCCAGGUUUCUGGUUCGAUACAAAGCACACAAAGUAAUAAUAAUAUGAUAUGAUUCUCCUUCAGCUGCAGAAUCUCUAUCCGAUUUGGUGGAUUCUCAUCCGGUCAUUUUUAUGACGCAUGCUAAGGUUGUUAUCAAUCAUUGUUCAUCAUCCACGUCAACCUGAAAUGGAUUUGUUUUCGAUAUAUAUGAGGCGUUGAGAUUGCUUAAUGACAUAUCAUUGAGUGCACUUUUCCAGUUUAUUUAUUAUGCAAGAGAGGAGAAGUCUGUCCCCAUAUGUUGAGCGUUGUCGAAAUAUCCUUCUUCUGAAGCGUUUAGUUAACCAAUUUGGAAAUGUGUUCAGCUUGAUCAGGAUAGUUGUGUUGUUUCGAAUGUUGAUUUAGUGAUUCAAGAAGCAUUCCGUUAUUCUACUGUUGAAGGAAAGAGUCAUUUUCAACUACUGCUUGAUACUUCGAUACAAAGCAGUAGUAGCUGAAUCACUUAUUCAAUUAUAUCUUGAAAGUGAAUAAUUGCAGUUUAGGCCAUUUUACUCAUUGUGCAUAUUUGAUUAUUUGAGUUAACAUUAACCUUUUCAUAAGAAAAAUGCUUACAUUCCUCUUAACACUAUAAAGAACAUACUAAUUUCACAUUCCUGUUUUGAUAUAACGAUGACUCAAUGAAAACUUGACUAAGAAAGAGACUUUAAAGUGACAAGAUUUAUAGAUUUUGGUGCAAAUGUAAAAUAUUUUUCUCAGUAUAUACUGAAACAAAUAUUUUACAGAUGUACUAAAUACUAUGGAUUUGUCACUGUAGUCACAGUUUAAUCUUUGAGUAGAAGAAAAUGAGUAUUCUGUAAUUUUUAAUGUAAUCAAGUUAAUAUUCACUAUCGCAAUAAAUGAAUAGUUAAUAUUUCAAAAUGAAUUUUCAUCAGAUUCAUUGAAAAUUCGAUUGAUGAGAACAAGGGACAUGUUCAGGUAUACACACAAAAAAGUAGUCCGCAUGAAACUAUCAAAUAUAACAAAUAAUAUUUCACAAUUGCACCGAAAAUUAUUAAUUUGUUACUUCUUCAGAGCUUGAUCUUGGUGGUGAAGCAAAUUAGUCAUCUGGUUUUGCAAUAAUUUAUGAUUCGAAGUUUUAAGGAAGCAGUUGUCAUUUUUGAUUUUCGAAAGGGACUAAUCGGGAAUUAAAUAAUUAUGUUUGGUAAUAUGAAAUAGCA
Harmonia axyridis is the source of this 2681-nucleotide RNA transcript. It is a transcript of the gene named casein kinase II subunit alpha, with no coding region annotated. NCBI's taxonomy places the organism in Eukaryota, Metazoa, Arthropoda, Insecta, Coleoptera, Coccinellidae. The record is from RefSeq and is a predicted model, not a curated record. The transcript has 9 exons.